GAUGAACGCUAGCGGCAGGCUUAAUACAUGCAAGUCGAACGGUAACAGGUCUUUCGGGAUGCUGACGAGUGGCGCACGGGUGAGUAACGCGUACAAAAUCUGCCUUUGUCAGGGGGAAAGUCACUGGAAACGGUGAAUAAUCCCGCAUACGAUUACAGGAGGGCAUCCUUUUGUGAUGAAAAUUACGAUGGACAAAGAUGAUUGUGCGUCUGAUUAGCUAGAUGGUAAGGUAACGGCUUACCAUGGCGACGAUCAGUAGGGGGCGUGAGAGCGUGAUCCCCCACACGGGUACUGAGACACGGACCCGACUCCUACGGGAGGCAGCAGUAAGGAAUAUUGGUCAAUGGAGGGAACUCUGAACCAGCCAUGCCGCGUGCGGGAAGACGGCCCUAUGGGUUGUAAACCGCUUUUAUAUGGGAAGAAUGGCAUACAUUUAUGUAUGAAGAGACGGUACCAUAUGAAUAAGCACCGGCUAACUCCG
Molecule: ribosomal RNA, 481 nt
Filed under: uncultured Saprospira sp.
Lineage: Bacteria; Pseudomonadati; Bacteroidota; Saprospiria; Saprospirales; Saprospiraceae
Description: bacterial SSU rRNA
Rfam family: Bacterial small subunit ribosomal RNA
Source: RNAcentral